UAGCUCAAUGGUAGAGCACUUGCCUAGCAUGAGCAAGGUCCUGGGUUCAAUUCCCAG
This 57-nucleotide transfer RNA is filed under the name Neotoma lepida (desert woodrat). It matches the Rfam family "tRNA", at positions 8 to 63 of the family's 71-position model. From Rfam's summary of the family: Transfer RNA (tRNA) molecules are approximately 80 nucleotides in length. The record is from Rfam by way of RNAcentral. Lineage: Eukaryota; Metazoa; Chordata; Mammalia; Rodentia; Cricetidae.